RNAcentral lists this ribosomal RNA (271 nucleotides) under uncultured prokaryote. Its description in RNAcentral is "partial 16S ribosomal RNA". It matches the Rfam family "Bacterial small subunit ribosomal RNA", at positions 524 to 794 of the family's 1533-position model. The record is from RNAcentral.
UACGGAGGAUCCGAGCGUUAUCCGGAUUUAUUGGGUUUAAAGGGUGCGCAGGCGGGAGAUUAAGUCGGCGGUGAAAUUUUGCAGCUCAACUGUAAAAGUGCCUUCGAAACUGGUUUCCUUGAGUGUAGAUGAAGUAGGCGGAAUUUGUGGUGUAGCGGUGAAAUGCAUAGAUAUCACGAGGAACUCCGAUUGCGCAGGCAGCUUACUAAACUACUACUGACGCUCAUGCACGAAGGCGUGGGGAUCAAACAGGAUUAGAUACCCCGGUAGU